AGAUGGCGACCGGCGCACGGGUGAGUAACACGUAUCCAACCUGCCGAUAACUCGGGGAUAGCCUUUCGAAAGAAAGAUUAAUACCCGAUGGCAUAAUUAGACCGCAUGGUCUUAUUAUUAAAGAAUUUCGGUUAUCGAUGGGGAUGCGUUCCAUUAGGCAGUUGGUGAGGUAACGGCUCACCAAACCUUCGAUGGAUGGGGGUUCUGAGAGGAAGGUCCCCCACAUUGGAACUGAGACACGGUCCAA
This 247-nucleotide ribosomal RNA is filed under the name uncultured bacterium. Its description in RNAcentral is "partial 16S ribosomal RNA". It matches the Rfam family "Bacterial small subunit ribosomal RNA", at positions 86 to 334 of the family's 1533-position model. The record is from RNAcentral.